GGCCUCGUAGCUUAGUUGGCUAGAGCGUUGACUGCACUAAGGCCUCCCCCUUGCUGGCGUGGGUUCGAAUCCCAACGAGGUCG
Molecule: non-coding RNA, 83 nt
Organism: Schistocephalus solidus
Lineage: Eukaryota; Metazoa; Platyhelminthes; Cestoda; Diphyllobothriidea; Diphyllobothriidae
Source: Rfam